CACGUAGGCGGCCUGUUAAGUCGGAUGUGAAAGCCCACGGCUCAACCGUGGAACUGCAUCCGAUACUGGCAGGCUCGAGGAUGGUUGGGGUGAGUGGAACUCCAGGUGGAGCGGUGAAAUGCGUAGAUAUCUGGAGGAACACCGGUGGCGAAAGCGGCUCACUGGACCAUCACUGACGCUGAGGUGCGAAAGCUAGGGGAGCGAACG
This 207-nucleotide ribosomal RNA is filed under the name uncultured bacterium. RNAcentral's name for it is "partial 16S ribosomal RNA". It matches the Rfam family "Bacterial small subunit ribosomal RNA", at positions 568 to 774 of the family's 1533-position model. The record is from RNAcentral.